Molecule: ribosomal RNA, 2900 nt
Filed under: Klebsiella pneumoniae BIDMC 48
Lineage: Bacteria; Pseudomonadati; Pseudomonadota; Gammaproteobacteria; Enterobacterales; Enterobacteriaceae
Description: bacterial LSU rRNA
Rfam family: Bacterial large subunit ribosomal RNA
Source: RNAcentral
UUAAGCGACUAAGCGUACACGGUGGAUGCCCUGGCAGUCAGAGGCGAUGAAGGACGUGCUAAUCUGCGAAAAGCGUCGGUAAGGUGAUAUGAACCGUUACAGCCGGCGAUGUCCGAAUGGGGAAACCCAGUGUGAUUCGUCACACUAUCGUUAACUGAAUACAUAGGUUAACGAGGCGAACCGGGGGAACUGAAACAUCUAAGUACCCCGAGGAAAAGAAAUCAACCGAGAUUCCCCCAGUAGCGGCGAGCGAACGGGGAGCAGCCCAGAGUCUGAAUCAGCUUGUGUGUUAGUGGAACGGUCUGGAAAGUCCGACGGUACAGGGUGAUAGUCCCGUACACCAAAAUGCACAGGUUGUGAACUCGAAGAGUAGGGCGGGACACGUGGUAUCCUGUCUGAAUAUGGGGGGACCAUCCUCCAAGGCUAAAUACUCCUGACUGACCGAUAGUGAACCAGUACCGUGAGGGAAAGGCGAAAAGAACCCCGGCGAGGGGAGUGAAAAAGAACCUGAAACCGUGUACGUACAAGCAGUGGGAGCACCUUCGGGUGUGACUGCGUACCUUUUGUAUAAUGGGUCAGCGACUUAUAUUCUGUAGCAAGGUUAACCGUAUAGGGGAGCCGCAGGGAAACCGAGUCUUAACUGGGCGUUAAGUUGCAGGGUAUAGACCCGAAACCCGGUGAUCUAGCCAUGGGCAGGUUGAAGGUUGGGUAACACUAACUGGAGGACCGAACCGACUAAUGUUGAAAAAUUAGCGGAUGACUUGUGGCUGGGGGUGAAAGGCCAAUCAAACCGGGAGAUAGCUGGUUCUCCCCGAAAGCUAUUUAGGUAGCGCCUCGUGAAUUCAUCUUCGGGGGUAGAGCACUGUUUCGGCUAGGGGGUCAUCCCGACUUACCAACCCGAUGCAAACUACGAAUACCGAAGAAUGUUAUCACGGGAGACACACGGCGGGUGCUAACGUCCGUCGUGAAGAGGGAAACAACCCAGACCGCCAGCUAAGGUCCCAAAGUCAUGGUUAAGUGGGAAACGAUGUGGGAAGGCACAGACAGCCAGGAUGUUGGCUUAGAAGCAGCCAUCAUUUAAAGAAAGCGUAAUAGCUCACUGGUCGAGUCGGCCUGCGCGGAAGAUGUAACGGGGCUAAACCAUGCACCGAAGCUGCGGCAGCGACACUAUGUGUUGUUGGGUAGGGGAGCGUUCUGUAAGCCUGCGAAGGUGACCUGUGAGGGUUGCUGGAGGUAUCAGAAGUGCGAAUGCUGACAUAAGUAACGAUAAAGCGGGUGAAAAGCCCGCUCGCCGGAAGACCAAGGGUUCCUGUCCAACGUUAAUCGGGGCAGGGUGAGUCGACCCCUAAGGCGAGGCCGAAAGGCGUAGUCGAUGGGAAACAGGUUAAUAUUCCUGUACUUGGUGUUACUGCGAAGGGGGGACGGAGAAGGCUAUGUUAGCCGGGCGACGGUUGUCCCGGUUUAAGCAUGUAGGCUGGUUGUCCAGGCAAAUCCGGAUAAUCAAGGCUGAGGUGUGAUGACGAGGCACUACGGUGCUGAAGUAACAAAUGCCCUGCUUCCAGGAAAAGCCUCUAAGCAUCAGGUAACAUCAAAUCGUACCCCAAACCGACACAGGUGGUCAGGUAGAGAAUACCAAGGCGCUUGAGAGAACUCGGGUGAAGGAACUAGGCAAAAUGGUGCCGUAACUUCGGGAGAAGGCACGCUGGUGUGUAGGUGAAGUCCCUGCGGAUGGAGCUGAGACCAGUCGAAGAUACCAGCUGGCUGCAACUGUUUAUUAAAAACACAGCACUGUGCAAACACGAAAGUGGACGUAUACGGUGUGACGCCUGCCCGGUGCCGGAAGGUUAAUUGAUGGGGUUAUCCGUAAGGAGAAGCUCUUGAUCGAAGCCCCGGUAAACGGCGGCCGUAACUAUAACGGUCCUAAGGUAGCGAAAUUCCUUGUCGGGUAAGUUCCGACCUGCACGAAUGGCGUAAUGAUGGCCAGGCUGUCUCCACCCGAGACUCAGUGAAAUUGAACUCGCUGUGAAGAUGCAGUGUACCCGCGGCAAGACGGAAAGACCCCGUGAACCUUUACUAUAGCUUGACACUGAACAUUGAGCCUUGAUGUGUAGGAUAGGUGGGAGGCUUUGAAGCGUGGACGCCAGUCUGCGUGGAGCCAACCUUGAAAUACCACCCUUUAAUGUUUGAUGUUCUAACGUUGGCCCCUUACCGGGGUUGCGGACAGUGUCUGGUGGGUAGUUUGACUGGGGCGGUCUCCUCCCAAAGCGUAACGGAGGAGCACGAAGGUUAGCUAAUCCUGGUCGGACAUCAGGAGGUUAGUGCAAUGGCAUAAGCUAGCUUGACUGCGAGCGUGACGGCGCGAGCAGGUGCGAAAGCAGGUCAUAGUGAUCCGGUGGUUCUGAAUGGAAGGGCCAUCGCUCAACGGAUAAAAGGUACUCCGGGGAUAACAGGCUGAUACCGCCCAAGAGUUCAUAUCGACGGCGGUGUUUGGCACCUCGAUGUCGGCUCAUCACAUCCUGGGGCUGAAGUAGGUCCCAAGGGUAUGGCUGUUCGCCAUUUAAAGUGGUACGCGAGCUGGGUUUAGAACGUCGUGAGACAGUUCGGUCCCUAUCUGCCGUGGGCGCUGGAGAAUUGAGGGGGGCUGCUCCUAGUACGAGAGGACCGGAGUGGACGCAUCACUGGUGUUCGGGUUGUCAUGCCAAUGGCACUGCCCGGUAGCUAAAUGCGGAAGAGAUAAGUGCUGAAAGCAUCUAAGCACGAAACUUGCCCCGAGAUGAGUUCUCCCUGAGACUUUAAGUCUCCUGAAGGAACGUUAAAGACGAUGACGUUGAUAGGCCGGGUGUGUAAGCGCAGCGAUGCGUUGAGCUAACCGGUACUAAUGAACCGUGAGGCUUAACCUU